This is a small nucleolar RNA of Ornithorhynchus anatinus (platypus), 138 nucleotides long. Lineage: Eukaryota; Metazoa; Chordata; Mammalia; Monotremata; Ornithorhynchidae. The record is from RefSeq and is a predicted model, not a curated record.
ACCCUCUCAGGAUCGCACCCGGAGAGUUUCCAGUACUCUACCAGUCUCGUCUAUGGGAGACAGAGAGAAGCAGAGGCCUACCUAUUCCAUUCCUAGCUUGGGCAGUGGCUAGCAAGUGGAAGACAAUCUGCUACAAGG